Molecule: transfer RNA, 73 nt
Filed under: uncultured delta proteobacterium
Lineage: Bacteria; Deltaproteobacteria
Description: tRNA-Ala
Rfam family: tRNA
About the family: Transfer RNA (tRNA) molecules are approximately 80 nucleotides in length. Their secondary structure includes four short double-helical elements and three loops (D, anti-codon, and T loops). Further hydrogen bonds mediate the characteristic L-shaped molecular structure. tRNAs have two regions of fundamental functional importance: the anti-codon, which is responsible for specific mRNA codon recognition, and the 3' end, to which the tRNAs corresponding amino acid is attached (by aminoacyl-tRNA synthetases). tRNAs cope with the degeneracy of the genetic code in two manners: having more than one tRNA (with a specific anti-codon) for a particular amino acid; and 'wobble' base-pairing, i.e. permitting non-standard base-pairing at the 3rd anti-codon position.
Source: RNAcentral
GGCUAUAGCUCAGUUGGGAGAGCGCCUGCCUUGCACGCAGGAGGUCAUCGGUUCGAUCCCGGUUAGCUCCACA